Molecule: ribosomal RNA, 21 nt
Filed under: Fusarium pseudograminearum
Lineage: Eukaryota; Fungi; Ascomycota; Sordariomycetes; Hypocreales; Nectriaceae
Description: partial 28S ribosomal RNA
Source: RNAcentral
AACUUCUGAAUGUUGACCUCG